GAAUAUAAAAUAGAUUGUGCUAUGUCUGGUUACGGCUCAGAAAGAUUUUAUAUUUU
Molecule: transfer RNA, 56 nt
Filed under: Litomosoides sigmodontis
Lineage: Eukaryota; Metazoa; Nematoda; Chromadorea; Rhabditida; Onchocercidae
Description: tRNA-Arg
Source: RNAcentral